GACGAACGCUGGCGGCGUGCUUAACACAUGCAAGUCAAGGGGGCCCAGCAAUGGGCAACCGGCGAACGGGUGCGUAACACGUGAGCAACCUACCGAACUGUGGGGGAUAGCCGGCCUAACGGCCGAGUAAUACCGCAUACGCUCUCAGAGAGGCAUUUCUUUGAGAGGAAACCUACGGGACAGAUCGAGGGGCUCGCGGCCUAUCAGCUAGUUGGCGGGGUAACGGCUCACCAAGGCAACGACGGGUAGCUGGUCUGAGAGGAUGGCCAGCCACAUUGGGACUGAGAUACGGCCCAGACUCCUACGGGAGGCAGCAGUGGGGAAUCUUGCGCAAUGGCCUAACGGCUGACGCAGCGACGCCGCGUGA
This 367-nucleotide ribosomal RNA is filed under the name uncultured bacterium. Its description in RNAcentral is "bacterial SSU rRNA". It matches the Rfam family "Bacterial small subunit ribosomal RNA", at positions 28 to 404 of the family's 1533-position model. The record is from RNAcentral.